This 1606-nucleotide ribosomal RNA is filed under the name Burhinus bistriatus. Its description in RNAcentral is "16S ribosomal RNA". The stretch from base 86 to 1524 matches the Rfam family "Bacterial large subunit ribosomal RNA". Lineage: Eukaryota; Metazoa; Chordata; Aves; Charadriiformes; Burhinidae. The record is from RNAcentral.
AGCCUACUCUAGCCCAACCGCACCUCAUAGCCAAACACCCCACAAGACUCACUCUACUAACAAACCAAAACAUUCUAUAAACUUAGUAUAGGCGAUAGAAAAGACCCGCAUCUGGCGCAAUAGAGAUUAGUACCGCAAGGGAAAGAUGAAAUAGCAAUGAAAAACUAAGCAAUAAACAGCAAAGAUUAACCCUUGUACCUUUUGCAUCAUGACUUAGCAAGAACAACCAAGCAAAGUGAACUUAAGCUUGCCCCCCCGAAACCCAAGCGAGCUACUUGCAAGCAGCUAUCUAAGAGCGAACCCGUCUCUGUGGCAAAAGAGUGGGACGACUUGCUAGUAGAGGUGAAAAGCCAACCGAGCUGGGUGAUAGCUGGUUGCCUGUGAAAUGAAUCUAAGUUCUCCCUUGACCCUCUCCCACCGGACAACAACUUAACCCCCAUGUGACGGAUCAAGAGCAACUUAAAGGAGGUACAGCUCCUUUAAAAAAGAACUCAAUCUCCCCCAGAGGAUAACUAACUUAUCUCCUUAAUCUGUAGGCCCUAAAGCAGCCACCAACAAAGAAUGCGUCAAAGCUCUCCACACAAAAAUCCUAAAGACAACCUGACUCCCUCCCCACUAACAGGCCUAACCUAUCAGAAUAGGAGAAUCAAUGCUAGAAUGAGUAACUUAGGGAAGGACCCCCACCCCCUCUUAAGCGCAAGCUUACAUCCCUACAUUAUCAACGGUCUACUGAACCAAUAUCCUCACUCUCACAAGACCAGAAUAUUGCACACCACCGUUACCCCAACCCAGGAGCGCCCACUAGAAAGAUUAAAACCUGUAAAAGGAACUAGGCAAACCCAAGGCCCGACUGUUUACCAAAAACAUAGCCUUCAGCCCCCCAAGUAUUGAAGGUGAUGCCUGCCCAGUGACACUAUGUUUAACGGCCGCGGUAUCCUAACCGUGCGAAGGUAGCGCAAUCAAUUGUCCCAUAAAUCGAGACUUGUAUGAAUGGCUAAACGAGGUCUUAACUGUCUCUUACAGGUAAUCAGUGAAAUUGAUCUUCCUGUGCAAAAGCAGGAAUAAACACAUAAGACGAGAAGACCCUGUGGAACUUAAAAAUCAGCAGCCACUACAUACAAGCCAAACCCUACUAGGCCUAUCCCCCCUGAAUGCUGGCCUGCAUUUUUCGGUUGGGGCGACCUUGGAGUAAAACAAACCCUCCAAAAAUAGGACCACACCUCCUAACCAAGAACAACACCUCGACGUACUAAUAGCAACCAGACCCAAUACAAUUGACCAAUGGACCAAGCUACCCCAGGGAUAACAGCGCAAUCUCCCCCAAGAGCCCCCAUCGACGGGGAGGUUUACGACCUCGAUGUUGGAUCAGGACAUCCUAAUGGUGCAGCAGCUAUUAAGGGUUCGUUUGUUCAACGAUUAACAGUCCUACGUGAUCUGAGUUCAGACCGGAGCGAUCCAGGUCGGUUUCUAUCUAUGCCAAACUCCCCCCAGUACGAAAGGACCGAGAGAGUGGGGCCAAUACUACAAGCACGCCCUCCCCCAAGUAAUGAACCCAACUAAAUUACUAAAAGGCCACCCCCAAUAUUACCCCUCCUAGAAAAGGACG